AUAUAGUGGAAAAUACUAACCAAGUAUUUUUAAUCUCAAACUCGAGAAAUUGAGAAAGUAUAGGAUUUUCUGAAGCUUGAGGAACAAAAUCCGGUCUUGUUAUAUUCCCAACUCUCACGACAAUACCAUAAGCAUUUACAAAAAAAAAAACGAUAAUAUGAAAGAU
Molecule: small RNA, 166 nt
Filed under: Arabidopsis thaliana (thale cress)
Lineage: Eukaryota; Viridiplantae; Streptophyta; Magnoliopsida; Brassicales; Brassicaceae
Description: ATSL034400
Source: RNAcentral